GGAUGGGCGCCCUGGACGUGUGCCCCUUCAUCCCUGUGAGGGGCGUCAGCAUGGAUGAGUGUGUGCUCUGUGCCCAGGCCUUCGGUCAGCGGCUGGCCGAGGGGCUGGGUGUGCCAGGUGAGUGCCCCGAAAGGGACACUGCAGGGCAGGGGCUCCCCCUCACUGCACCGCGGCGCCCUCAGGUUCUCUGCAGAUAGAAGCCGGGUGCGGUGUGUGCAGUGCGUGGCCUGGCCGUUGAGAAGCACUGGAUGCCGCUUAGCUGCUCCGAAAAGUCAAGUCCAUGCUUCCUAAUGGAAUAAUUUCACCUUGGGGAAUUAACCAAAUCAAGAAAUUAUUAACCUGAGACAAACGGGGGGCGUCUACACUCACGGGGCAUGGGCUCAGGCAGACGGGGUGCGUGAGGGCAGGGCCUAAGCCCCACCCCCUGCGGGUACAGGCCAGUGUUCCACGCUCUCAUCAUUGUCGUGGGGAUAUUGGAGUCGGGGUGAGUUUUGUUUUCUUUUCUCUGUGUUUCUUAAUUUGCGGGCCUAUUUAUUGUACAAUGAAAAUACACUUUAGAAAGAAAGGUGAACAUGCUUCCAUCCCGAACGUCUACUUCUAACUCUUAGCAUCUCGGUGAUGGCUUUUUCGGGGGCAUCUGUGCAGGGGGAGCAGCAGGGGGGGCUACCCUGGCCCUGGGUGGGCAGAGGAGUGUCCAUCAGCGACCACCCACACCCAUCCGAUGAGGCGCAGAGAGAUAGGAGCCAAGGGAGAGGGAGGUUGGUCCCCCAGGCUGAGCCUGGCAGGAGCGGCUGCCUCGUUUCUCCUCCAGGAGUGGGGCUUCUGGGCGGCCCACCGGCUGGGACCCUGACCAGCCUGGCCCCCUUGCAGUGUACCUCUAUGGCGAGGCGGCGCGCACAGCCAGUCGCCGGACCCUGCCUGCCAUCCGGGCUGGGGAGUACGAGGCCCUCCCUGAGAAGCUCAAGCAGGCUGAGUGGGUGCCCGACUUCGGCCCCAGCUCCUUUGUCCCCAGCUGGGGGGCCACUGUCACGGGGGCACGGAAGUUCCUCAUUGCGUUCAACAUCAACCUGCUCAGCACCAAGGAGCAGGCCCACCGCAUCGCCCUCAACAUUCGGGAGCAGGGGCGUGGGAAGGACAAGCCAGGACGCCUGGAAAAGGUUCAGGGCAUUGGCUGGUACCUGGAUGAGAAGAACCUGGCCCAAGUGUCCACAAACCUCUUGGACUUUGAGGUCACAGCACUGCAUACGGUCUACGAGGAGACCUGCAGAGAAGCCCAGGUGAGCAGGGCGGUGUCCCCUGCUGGCCGGGGCGAAGUCCCUGCAGG
This is a long non-coding RNA of Neomonachus schauinslandi (Hawaiian monk seal), 1324 nucleotides long. RefSeq lists it as uncharacterized. The record is from RefSeq and is a predicted model, not a curated record. NCBI's taxonomy places the organism in Eukaryota, Metazoa, Chordata, Mammalia, Carnivora, Phocidae. The transcript is spliced from 3 exons.